This is a long non-coding RNA of Anser brachyrhynchus (Pink-footed goose), 1718 nucleotides long. NCBI's taxonomy places the organism in Eukaryota, Metazoa, Chordata, Aves, Anseriformes, Anatidae. The record is from Ensembl.
CCCUUCCGCCGCGCGGCCGCCAUUUCGCGCAGCAGCGCCCUCUGCUGCCUCGGCGCCCCGGGGCGGCCGGCAGCCCCGCUCGAAGCUCGUGCUGAAGCUGCUAAAUCCGGAGAAACUCUCCCGUUUUUCGUGUUUAAGAAACUAUCAGGGUUGAUCUUAGCAUUACAAAAGGGGGUGGAAUAAUUUCUUCCCCAUAAAGGCUCUUCGAUAAACUGCUAAUGCCUCAUGAUGCCACAGCAGCCCAGAGACCGCAGUGCCCCUGGGCACUUCUCCACCUGCCUUGUCCCCAGUUUUAAACCAUUUCCUACACUGCCAAACACCAAUAUUUCUUACCGAGUAUGCCCAAAACAGCAUCGCUGUCAGCUGCUAAUAUUUCCCUCCGUGGCAAUGCUUGGGACACAGUGAUGUUGCUCCUGAGGGCUGGUGGCCUGAGCCGUGGGGACAGCAUCCACACAGUUCUGCCAGUGAUCCCACAGCAGAGAACAAGCAGUAAGGGCAGGUUUCACAUUUAGAAUGAAACUGAAGAUAAUGGCAUGAUUCAUUGGAAAUGAGACUUCAUAUAGAACUGUUUCUUCAGUACAAUUUUACUUCCUGCUGAGAUAUUUGAUGGCAGACAGAAAGCCUAUGGCUGGGUUUCACAAGAAUGAAAAAUGAGAAGUCAGCCUGGAUUCCAGUUUUUGUGUAGAAACAGAGGUUAUUUUCCCCAAGUCUGUCUAGCCUUGUACUGUUUUAUCAAUACUACUGGAGGGUUAGUUGCACCAAAUCAAAGAAGAACAAAGCUGGACAGCAUCAGAAUUACAAUUACCCAAGAGGUACUUGCUCAGAUUUCCUUGCAGCCUGAAUGCAUUCAAGACAAAAUGUCACUUCGGUAAUAGAACUGAAGAGUCAAGAAGACCCAUCUGAAAGAGGUUGGUUGUUUUCUUAUUUUGUUGAUGAUAUCCAGGUGUUAAAUGCACAAUGAGACAGUAAGUAGGUCUGAAAUAAUGCUCUAUGCUCAUUCUGGGAGCAUGCAACUCUACAUGGACCAAAGCACGCUAUUGGCCAGGGUUUAAAAAGGGAGAUGAUGCCAGGUCAGCCUAUGUCCAGAGUAAUGAUACUUGGAUACCCAGAAUGAUGACAGGACAGGGUAUGGCAUGGGAAGGUGGCUGUCAGGCUGCAGAAACGGUGCUCAGCAUGGAUGUGACUAUGUAAAUAGUAAAACUCUGUCAUAUACUAUGCAGCAUUACUGGCACUUCAAAGAAAACCACAUCCUAUUGUUACUUCACCAGUGCCUACAAACUGCUGAAUUAUUUCCUAUGAGUUGUUACUUUUACUAUUCAAGAUGAAACAACUGUUUGUAUCCAGGUUUCCCAGUGUGCCUUACAGUGACUUUUAAUGUAGGUUUUUCAGCAUUUGAAAAGAUGUGAAUGUUUUGCUUUUGGUAAAGUAACCAACAAUAGCAAAAAUACUGUUUCUGUAAAAGCAAAUUAUACAGGUUUUGAGGCAUCAACUCACAAGAUUUAAUACGGUAUGAAUACAUCCUAUGAAACCUUGAUAGCUUUGUACUAUCCUUAAAGUUUAAGUAAGUGAUUAAUCGCAAAACAACAGGGUUUAGAAACAAAAGACCAUCUGUCUCAAACAGAUGACUUCUUUGUAACCUUAACGGUACUGAAAAUAGAUAAAAUAGAUGCAAGUUUAUCAGUAACCAGUUUGAAGGGAACAGGCUUCACAGAAUAAUG